Molecule: ribosomal RNA, 257 nt
Filed under: uncultured bacterium
Lineage: Bacteria
Description: partial 16S ribosomal RNA
Rfam family: Bacterial small subunit ribosomal RNA
Source: RNAcentral
GACGAAGGAUGCAAGCGUUAUCCGGAUUCAUUGGGUUUAAAGGGAGCGUAGGCGGAUUGGUAAGUCAGUGGUGAAAUCUUUGGGCUUAACCCAGAAACUGCCAUUGAUACUGCUGAUCUAGAGUACAGUUGCCGUUGGCGGAAUAUGACAUGUAGUGGUGAAAUACUUAGAUAUGUCAUAGAACACCGAUUGCGAAGGCAGCUAACGAAGCUGUAACUGACGCUGAGGCUCGAAAAGUGCGGGGAUUAACAAGCAUG